Molecule: unclassified non-coding RNA, 298 nt
Filed under: Hevea brasiliensis (rubber tree)
Lineage: Eukaryota; Viridiplantae; Streptophyta; Magnoliopsida; Malpighiales; Euphorbiaceae
Source: RNAcentral
UGAAGAAAUUCUAACAGAUCCACAUCUGUUAGAUUAACACCCAGAAUACAGGGAACCGCAAGAAGCCUGACAGAUGUUUGCUGCUUGUGAAUCAGAUUCAAGUUCCUGGUAAAUGAUUUUGAAGCUUGAGAAUGAAUGUUGCAGAUCCAACCCCAGUUUUGAAUUUGGUCAGCAUAGUUGUGUAAUAAUUGAUAACCAAUUUCAGGCAUGACCAAUUCUUGCUCGGAAUCAAGAUAGGUUGUUGUUCUUUUUUGUCCAGAUAGAACCUUCUCACGCAGUUCUUCCAAACGAAUUCGCU